RNAcentral lists this long non-coding RNA (1886 nucleotides) under Cicer arietinum (chickpea). RNAcentral's name for it is "long non-coding RNA (CARI_LNC002702)". The record is from RNAcentral. Lineage: Eukaryota; Viridiplantae; Streptophyta; Magnoliopsida; Fabales; Fabaceae.
AUCAACACCAUCUUCCUCUCAAAUUCGUCCCAACAAUUCCUUGCCAUUUUGAAAUGAUCCCAACCUCUAUCCCACACAAAAUCGGCCACUGAAUCCAUUUUUGACAUCAAUUUUACCGAUCGUGACUCCGUUUAAUCAUAAACAGAUGGGUUUCUUUCCUUGGGAGAGUUGUUUUUGACCGAUCCCGAUAACCACGUUUGUCAUCUCAAAAAACUGACAUCGUUUUUGAAUUCCCCUCGUCGAAACCUUCAAGAAGCACUACUCAUUUGUAUUUUUCGGUGAAGUUGACGUCAGACCCUUCCGGGCGCUCCGACGAGUCGGUGAGACAUUUUCUGCAGUUUUUUUCAUCGUUUUGACUCCAAUUUUGUUCCUAAAAUUAAUAUUAAUUAUUUAUUUUUAUGCUCCGCAUAAUUUAUCAGUCAUGUCUCAACGAUUUUGUCAACUCGUCGUUUAUUCGGACUUGCUCACUGGACGUUGUCGAUCUAUAGUUGAAAAUUCUCAUUGAUUUAUGGAUUUGAUAAAGCGUCGAAAUAAGGUAAGGGGUGAGAGAGCGUUUGAAUUCAUGAGUAUAAUAUAUUGCGAGAUGAACGGGAAAACCGUAUUUCCCAACGAUUCAUCUGGGGCUCGCUACGUACGGCAGUAGUGAUAAAUUAAUUAAUAUGCAAAAUGGAAAUUGUGAGAUUAAAAUUUGGAAUACAAAUAUUUAUAAGGUGUUGAUUGAUUUAAUUUCUUUAAAUGUGUGAUAUUUGAUAUUAUUGAGAUAUUUAACAUUAUUGUGAUAUUUGAUAUUAUUGUGAUAUUUGAUAUCAUUAUGAUAUUUGAUAUCAUUGUGAUAUUUGAUAUCAUUGUGAUAUUUGAUUUCAAAUGAAUUUAGUGCACAUGUUUGAUUAAAUGAGUUUAUGUGAAUACAGUGUAUAAUGUAAGUUUAUUUAAUGAUGUUGUUUGAUUUAUGAUAUAAAUUUGUGAUAAGUUUAUGUGAUAAUAAUGAUGAUGUUUGAUUUAUGAUAGUGAUUCUAUAAAAUUGUGAUAAGUUUAUGUGAUGAUAUAUGAUUAAUGAUAGUGAUAUUGUGAAUUUGUGAUGAGAAUAUUGAAGUAAUCUCAUAGUUGGGCCUGACAAGCCUAGUGAUUCCGGGGAAAUACAAUUGAAUGAGUCUGGUCGUGGAGGUCUACUAUUGAGCCUUAAGGCAAGAUUGUUAGACCUUGGAGGUAUUCGGGUGGGGAAUUCCUAGGUGACUUGGAGGUAGCACUCCAAAUGUCGGGAGCUACCAUGCAACACAUGUUUACCUCCACUGUCACGUAUAUGUGUCUCGGGUUGAGUUGAGGGGAUCUAUGAGGACAAGGACAAUUUGAAUUGUCUGUCCACCGGGAUGGUGCCAUAGUAUCAAGCCUCAUAACCAAGUACUUCAGAGUUUGAAUGGUACCACAUUGUGAAGUAGAGUCUAAGCUCAUGCAUAGCAUAGCAUUUUCUUGUGAUUGUUUUGUUGUGAUUAAUAUGUAUUAUGCGUGAUAAUAAUUUAUGCGAUGAUUUGAUGUUACAGUGAAGUGUAUUGAUUUUCUUUGAUUUUGACUAUAUAAUGUGAUGUUUUUCCUUGAAGAAUGUUAGUGUAAUGAUACAGUUUAUUGAUGAUUAAUUGCGUUUUACUCUUAUUUAUAUUAUACUAUCAACAUGAUUUCAAAACUCACCUCCUUCGUUGUUUGUGUUUGACUGGUUUGGCCCUGCGUUUGAGAAAUCGCAGUUAUUACAGGUUAAUGAGUCUGAAAGUUCAAGUUCGGAGAAACUCUGCUCUGAUAGGUGAUACUAGGAAUUAAGAGUUGUAAUUUGUAUUUUACUUAUGUUAUUACAAAUAAAUUUUUACAUGAAAACUUAGUACGUGUAAGUCUUGGGA